Molecule: ribosomal RNA, 302 nt
Filed under: uncultured bacterium
Lineage: Bacteria
Description: partial 16S ribosomal RNA
Rfam family: Bacterial small subunit ribosomal RNA
Source: RNAcentral
GCAGUCGCCGCGGUAAUACGGAGGGAGCUAGCGUUGUUCGGAAUUACUGGGCGUAAAGCGCGCGUAGGCGGUUACUCAAGUCAGAGGUGAAAGCCCGGGGCUCAACCCCGGAACUGCCUUUGAAACUAGGUGACUAGAAUCUUGGAGAGGUCAGUGGAAUUCCGAGUGUAGAGGUGAAAUUCGUAGAUAUUCGGAAGAACACCAGUGGCGAAGGCGACUGACUGGACAAGUAUUGACGCUGAGGUGCGAAAGCGUGGGGAGCAAACAGGAUUAGAGACCCCCGUAGUCCUGUCUCUUAUACA